RNAcentral lists this ribosomal RNA (497 nucleotides) under uncultured bacterium. RNAcentral describes it as "partial 16S ribosomal RNA". It matches the Rfam family "Bacterial small subunit ribosomal RNA", at positions 28 to 507 of the family's 1533-position model. The record is from RNAcentral.
GAUGAACGCUGGCGGCGUGCCUAAUACAUGCAAGUCGAGCGAACGGACGAGAAGCUUGCUUCUCUGAUGUUAGCGGCGGACGGGUGAGUAACACGUGGAUAACCUACCUAUAAGACUGGGAUAACUUCGGGAAACCGGAGCUAAUACCGGAUGAUAUUUUGAACCGCAUGGUUCAAAAGUGAAAGACGGUCUUGCUGUCACUUAUAGAUGGAUCCGCGCUGCAUUAGCUAGUUGGUAAGGUAACGGCUUACCAAGGCAACGAUGCAUAGCCGACCUGAGAGGGUGAUCAGCCACACUGGAACUGAGACACGGUCCAGACUCCUACGGGAGGCAGCAGUAGGGAAUCUUCCGCAAUGGGCGCAAGCCUGACGGAGCAACGCCGCGUGAGUGAUGAAGGUCUUCGGAUCGUAAAACUCUGUUAUUAGGGAAGAACAUAUGUGUAAGUAACUGUGCACAUCUUGACGGUACCUAAUCAGAAAGCCACGGCUAACUACGUG